CCAAUAGCGUAUAUUAAAGUUGUUGCAGUUAAAAAGCUCGUAGUUGAAUUUCAGGCCUGGCUGGACGGUCCGCCCUUCGGGUGAGUACUGUCUGUGGUCGGGUCCUACCUUCUGGCGAAGCGUCAUGGCCUUAACCGGCCGUGGCGGGGAACCAGGACUUUUACUGUGAAAAAAUUAGAGUGUUUAAAGCAGGCUAACGCUUGAAUACAUUAGCAUGGAAUAAUGAAAUAGGACGUUCGAUCCUAUUUUGUUGGUUUCUAGGAUUGACGUAAUGAUUAAUAGGGAUAGUUGGGGGCAUUAGUAUUCAAUUGUCAGAGGUGAAAUUCUUGGAUUUAUUGAAGACUAACUACUGCGAAAGCAUUUGCCAAGGAUGUUUUCAUUAAUCAAGAACGAAAGUUAGGGGAUCGAAGACGAUCAGAUACCGUCGUAGUCUUAACCAUAAACUAUGCCGACUAGGGAUCGGAUGAUGUUAAUUUUUUAAUGACUCAUUCGGCGCCUUACG
This 502-nucleotide ribosomal RNA is filed under the name uncultured Glomeromycotina. Its description in RNAcentral is "partial small subunit ribosomal RNA". It matches the Rfam family "Eukaryotic small subunit ribosomal RNA", at positions 591 to 1092 of the family's 1831-position model. The record is from RNAcentral. Lineage: Eukaryota; Fungi; Glomeromycota.